This 5097-nucleotide long non-coding RNA is filed under the name Bemisia tabaci. RNAcentral describes it as "lncRNA ENSSWEETPG012981". Lineage: Eukaryota; Metazoa; Arthropoda; Insecta; Hemiptera; Aleyrodidae. The record is from RNAcentral.
AGUUUUGGUUUUCAUUUGGCCUUUGGUAUAAUAGUGAUCCUUCAUUCAGGGCUUAUCAAGCGAUUUUUGCUUUCAGUUUUUAAUUUUCUUUUCUGGUUCCUAGGUUUGUCUUGUAUCCAAUACAUUCUAGAUCACUUUGGCGAUUUUGAAAGUUCAUCUGUAAGGGAGGAUCAAAACUCAUCUGAAAGUGAGCGGUUCGAUCCCGAGGACGAAGAUGAAAAAUCUCGCCAUUCUCAAGUUCAAUUUAUAGUAGGAGGUGACUCACCAGUUAAUGAGACAUCGCCCGCUCAAAAAUUAGUUUCCCAGCAAUCAGAUGAAGCGUCAACUGCGUCAGAGAAACAAGGGGCUUUGUCGCAUAGUGACCGAGAAGCUUCUGUGCCUUACUUAAAUAAGAACCAGAAAUCGAUCAGAGUGAGCCAAAACGUAGAUGCAAUGGCUUUGGAGACAGAGUGCCGACCCGGACGUAAGCACUCGCAAACUUCGCAAACAUCACAAGGAUCAACAGAAAAUAUUGAGAUCCUACCGCGAGGAAGACGGCUGCAUAAACGCAACGAACUCCACCAGUCACACUCAACCAGUGGCGUUUCAUCUGCUGACGAGGAAGUUUUGGCAGGUGAGCUCCUUGCCUCCGCAACAGAAGACGUCAGUGAUCUUAAGCGGCAGAAGAAGUCGCUUCUUCACUUUCCCAAAUUCUCAAGGAAAGUUAAGCAGUCAUCCAGUCCACAGCUGAAUGUGUCCUCCUCCUCAAAGUUGCCCACUUAGCAUUGGUUCGUUAAGGGCUCAAGAGACGUGAGUGUAAUGUUUUGUUAAGUUUUUGUUUUUUGGAAGUCAUGCUCAAGAGGGACAAGUGCUCUUAAGAAAGAAUGCCUGUGAUAAUAGUAUCUAUGAUUCAGGUCGGCAGAGGUGCGUUUAUUAUGUAGAGAAGAUGCACAGAUAUUUCCUGGGGAAGAAUUCCAUGUUUUUAUCACUUUAUACCUUUUCUUUUUCUUGCUUUGCCUCAGUGUCCAACAGGUAGUGAAGGCAAUAAGUUGGGAUUCGAUCGGUAGAUUAUAGCUGCUUUAUAAACGAAAAUUUAUUUCAAAAUUACCAGAACCAAAAAUUACAAUUUAUUGUGAUUAAUUACUCUUUUAUCAAUAUCAAUUUUAGACGAUAUUAAGAAAGAAAAAAUAAAUUGACAUAAAAUUGCAUUUUUAUCAAAGUCGGAUUUCAUUGCAAUGAGUCCGGAUGAAAACACUCAAAUGUUGAUGAUUCCAGCAAUUUUAUUGCAAUGAAUAGUCAACAAAAUCACAUCUCUUCCAUCUUAAAAUGCUACUUGGGUGGUGUAGAUUUGACUGAAAGAGGUUUCCGUGUCAUCUCUUAACAUCCCAACUCUUAUUAAAGAGAAUCAGUUGUUUAUUUUGAAAAAUGUCAGCCCUCUAACCUGCUCCUCGAUGUAUUCAUAUCUAUGAAAAACCAAAAGUAUAUUUUAGAGGUAGCUCUAUAGUGCACCGCAGAUUCAGUUGAUAUCUCCAAUAAGUGAUUCAGUUUUUUUUGAUGCGAAAAGAUUUGACUGCCAAAGUUUUACCACUCAUGUAAUCAUUUAAGUAACAAUCUUUUACAUAAAUAUUAUAGCUUAUUUUAAGGGAGAAUCCAUUGAAGCAGAUCCUAACAGGAUGUUCCAACAGGGUAGCAAUGUCUGCAAAGUUUUUACCUCGAGUAAAAGUUUUUUGACUAGACUUGUCAAUCCCAUAAAGGUAGCAAAUUACCCGAGUCUCCAAAAAAUAUUCAUGAACCAAUUAAGAGCUAUCAAAAUUUCGUUCCUUCUAAUCACUAAUCAUCAGCAGUAAAACGGAGGGAAGGAACCGUUUUUUCCACUUUAGUUUAACUGAAUUUUUCUUUCUUUCUAUCUAUACAAACUUUAGUAAGCCUUUAAUAACAAUAACCAGUAGAACAGUUUCGAAAAUCCUAUUUAUUACGAUAUGCACUUAAUUCUCGCUUUCAGAAGUACUUUAAGCAAUUUCAUCAUCAAAUUCUGUAUCAAAAUCCCUGAUGCAUUGUAAAAUAUUUUAAAUUCAGAUUUUUUACCCUUUUAAUUUUUUUAAAAUGCCUUAACAUUUUGGAAGAACCUAUGAUGUAUGUGAUGGCAAAGUGCUGAACUAGCGCUGUGGAUUCAUCCAAAGUUUACAAUUUUGUAGGUCCAUAACAAUGUUAGAUUUUUGGAUUUUAAAAGUUAUAACUCUAUGCUUUGCAUCUGUCCCUCUUGGGCAGCAAAUUUUUUAUUCAAGCAGCUUUCUUCUGAUAUUGGAGAAUAUAACACCGAAAGCCUGUUUAAUAGUUUUAGACCCGUGACUCUAGUUGUAUAAGGAUGUAUGCCUAUUUUCAAAUUCCCACCCUAGUAUUAUUGACUGUUAAAUGUGGACCUUAAAAAAUGGGAAAUAAUUGUUAAAAUGUAUGAGGUAGCAAACCCUCUUCGAUUUUUUUUGAAGUAGAAAUGUGAAAUUGCUGCUUAAAAAAAGCUGUACGAAAUUUCUAUCAAAAUUGUGUUAAAUUCUGAAAAUAUCUCUUAUUGAUGCUCAACACGCAAGAUAACUUGCAAAAUAUACAACAUAAAAAACUAAAAUUUUCUGUAAAAUUGUUGUCAAUGUUCACUAAAAUAAAGUGAUCUAAAACGUGUACAAGUCCAUAGGGGCAGUUUUAUGUUAAAAAGAUCAGAAGGGGUUUCUUAACUUGGAUAUUUGAAUCGUCGUAGUUUAGAGUUUUAUCUUUGAAAUUUACAAGUUUUUUAACUUUUUAAUAACAGUCAAUGCUACUGGGCAGGUUUGUAAGAUGUAAAAGACUCAUAGCUUUAGUGUAACAACUCUUGUCUUAAGACUUUUUCCAGUGUGUCAGACUAAUGGUAGCUAGUACAAGAAGUAAUCGUAUAGUACGAGAUUCACUGAACAACUCAGUAUUUUCUGUUUAUUAAAAACAUUAGGUGAGGUGUAAGUGGGAGCAAGAUAAAAAGAAAAUUAAUGUACAAAAGUUUUAUCAAUCGAAAAUGAUCUAGCCUUAAUGAAAAUCCAUUCUCUUGCUUCAGAGAAAAAUUCUCAGAUUUGUCAAUACAAAAAUUAUGACUUCAUAGCUAUACUCAAAAAUGAUUGCGCAUCGAGAUUCUUCCUAAGUUCAUUUGAGGGUGCAGUAAUCAUUAUGAAAGAAGAAUUAUGUCAAUGAAUUAUAAGAAAUUACUUGAUCAAAAGAGACUAUAAUUUGGUUCCAAUAUUUUCUAUGGCAUGCCACUAAAAAAUCUCAUUCUGAGGUUCAAGGUCAAUGAGGCGUAACACUAAUUUUUACACUAUGGUUUCAAACAAAGCUGUCGGGCUCAAAGUUGUUGGCUUCAAACCCUCAUUUGCAAGCAACUGUAAGCAUGUUUAACUUUGUUAUUUGAUUGUUGAUCUAUGGUUUGCACUGUUGAGGAUCUACAAUUGCGUGAGAGUAGUUUUAAGGAGUUAAAAGAAGUGAGUGUAUGACUUAUUGGUUACAUUAUGUACGUUACAUUGGUUACGUUAUGGUGAGUUACAUUGGUUUAACUUUCGGACGACCGCAGUUUUUGAGCCUGGGGGUCAGAAUUUUGUAGUCUUUCUGUAAUAUAAUUUGUGUACGAUACAGGUGGCUUGAGCCUCACAUAAUUUCUCAUGUAAGGACUCGGAUUGGCCAUUGCUGUGGAUUUUAAGGUUCUGUCUACUUUUGCAUUCAUUUAAAAGUUGUAAAAUUUGUUCCUGAAUCAAUAUUAAAUGACUGGUAAAUUCAGGUUGGUGUGAAAGAUAAAACGCAGACAUAACCAAGAUUAUGUAAAGGUAAAGUUGAACGGUUUUUAAUUACUUUCAAAACACGGGAGUGAAAGCACUCGAUGAACCCAAUACCAAAGAAAGUUCUAAAUUUAGGCAGAGUAGCGAGUGCCAGAGACAUUCUGUCCUUUUGUUACCUUGGGAGGUGAAAAUUUGUAUAGAGGUUUAGCUGAACCCUCAAGUGAAUUGGCAGUAUAGAGUUUUACGCUGUAUUUUUUAAUUGCUUUUGAAAAAUUUAAUUGCAGCCUUAAGUUAAGGUUUUUGAGAUAUUUAGCUUCUUUUUUUUAGCAAAAGAUUGAUCUUAUUAAUUGUGUUACCCCCCCGGUUUUUACUCUCCGUAGAAAUCAUCAUUCUUACUGCUAUUUGUGGUACUUAAUUUUUACUUUAUAGAGAGCAAUUAUUGAAGAACCUGUAGCAAAACAUUUUAGGUUGUUUUUCUUUUUCCUUUCAAUGCAGUUUCCGUCCGUUAUCUUGUACUUUCCUACAAAUGUCAAAUACCUUUUCUUUUAUCAUGGCUAGAAAUUGUACUUACACUGUUGAACGAAGUCUGUUGUUUUUCAUUCUUUGUGGUACUAUAGAGGGUACCAGGAGAAAAAAUGGCUUGCUAAAUCAACUGUCGGAUCAGAAUUUUUUGCUGACAGCAACAUUUAUAUGAUAUUUCUGAGUGGUUCUCUAAUGUUAAUCCACAGUGCUUAUCUCCAUGGCUUUAUUCGUUUUCCUUGUUUGAAAACCUCACAAAACAAAAAAGAUGACGGGUGUCCAAGGCUCGAUUUAACCUUUGAAACACUUCCCACAUUAAUCUCUGUGAAAAUAUUGCAGUUCAUUAAUUACCGUGCUUCCUCCAGUUUCUUCCAUAUUCUUAAAAAAUAGAAUAUUGUUUAAUUUAUGUAGAUAAUACCAACACUCUUUUGUAGGUAAAGACACUUUACAUCUGUUUUUAACGCACAUAAUUCCAUAUCGAAAGAGAUUGAAUUUUUUACCCCCACUGUAGUUUUUUACUAAUCAGCUAUUCAAUCAUAAACUCUGAUAAGAAGAUGAAUAAAUUCUGAGUUCAGCAUAUCUUCCUUUCAAAAAGUUUGCGUACUCGCAAAAAUGUCUCUAAUUCUCUGUGACCGAUUAUCUUCAGAAUGAAAUAUAAAGGAAUAUUCAAUUGAUCAGCGUCUCAAAUUUGCUAAAUCCUUUUCUUGCUGAUAAGUACCUCCUAUUAUCUAUAAUCAAAUAAUCUAUGUUGAUAAGCUCUGUUUUGUUACCCAAUAACCACAAGUUUCUUGAGAGAGGUGUUAAAUAAUGAUUU